UACGAAGGGGGCUAGCGUUGCUCGGAAUCACUGGGCGUAAAGGGCGCGUAGGCGGGUCUUUAAGUCAGGGGUGAAAUCCUGGAGCUCAACUCCAGAACUGCCUUUGAUACUGAGGAUCUUGAGUCCGGGAGAGGUGAGUGGAACUGCGAGUGUAGAGGUGAAAUUCGUAGAUAUUCGCAAGAACACCAGUGGCGAAGGCGGCUCACUGGCCCGGUACUGACGCUGAGGCACGAAAGCGUGGGGAGCAAACAGG
This 253-nucleotide ribosomal RNA is filed under the name uncultured bacterium. RNAcentral describes it as "partial 16S ribosomal RNA". It matches the Rfam family "Bacterial small subunit ribosomal RNA", at positions 524 to 776 of the family's 1533-position model. The record is from RNAcentral.